RNAcentral lists this long non-coding RNA (561 nucleotides) under Cairina moschata (Muscovy duck). Its description in RNAcentral is "domestica (muscovy Duck (domestic type)) lncRNA (ENSCMMG00000004595.1)". The record is from RNAcentral. Lineage: Eukaryota; Metazoa; Chordata; Aves; Anseriformes; Anatidae.
GUUUAUGUGUACUUGUUUAUGAUUGAUCAUUAACUAUUCAUGCUUCAGUACUGAGCAGACAUUUAAAGACUGCCACCAGGUUGGGCAGAGGUUCAAGCUAAGCAGUAGUGACAUUUCAGUCAAAGAAGAAAAGACAUAAUACAUGGCUGAUAUAACCAAACAGGCAAGUUAAUAUGGGUUGAGAAGGAACUAGGCAAUAGCAGGGCUUCUUUGAAGAGGAUGGCUAAAGAGAGGAAGGGGUUCCACCUGCAACACUGCACAUUUGUGUAAGGCCUUCAGCACAGCUCUGCCACUAUGUAAAAAAGGAACUCAAGUCCCGUGUUGCAAUUCUGUGGUAUUGCGGUGAAAUGGAGCAUCCCUUUCCUUUCAGAGUUUACAAGUAUUUAUAAGGGAGCCAGCACUUUGCUUCCUUCAGAUCACAACACCAACCUGCCUGACAACUUCAACUAACAGGCGUGGGAAAAGGUAAGAAUUCCUUUCUUCUCUAACACUGGGGCAGCACAAGCCUGGCUCCAGCAGACUUCAAAUGAAACUAAAGAAAACUUAAAAAAAAAAAUUUUA